UGUGUGUAUGAAACCCAAAUGGGUAAAGAGAGAGAGAGCUUGGAAGCGAUUUGAGAGAAAGGAAGUUUAAUGAGUGUUUGUGUGUCUAAGUGUUUAAGAGAUUAGUGACCAGACUAAGAACGUGUAUAGAGAUUCAGGAUGAGAAACUAGAGAGACAAAGAGAAAGUUGUUGAGAUGAGAGAAUAAAGAGUUGAUAUAUUGAGAGAGGAAGAGAGUUGGAGUAGACAGUAACUUUGGAGUUUUACUGUGGUAACUUUAGUUUAACCACAGUAACAACUUGGGAAGUUAUCUGAUGGCAUGAGAAGGUAACUUAGUGAAGGGAAGAGAGUAAACUCGACCAAAGAGGAUAAGGAAGGAUAAGGGAGCACUUUGACAGCCUGU
Molecule: long non-coding RNA, 381 nt
Filed under: Brassica napus (rape)
Lineage: Eukaryota; Viridiplantae; Streptophyta; Magnoliopsida; Brassicales; Brassicaceae
Description: long non-coding RNA (BNAP_LNC025283)
Source: RNAcentral